UGAGGAAUAUUGGGCAAUGCCCGCAAGGGUGACCCAGCAACGCCGCGUGGAGGAUGAAUGUCGUGAGAUUGUAAACUCCUGUUAGAGGGGAAGAAUAGUACCGGUUGGACCGGUAUAUGACUGUACCCUCAGAGAAAGCCCCGGCUAACUACGUGCCAGCAGCCGCGGUAAUACGUAGGGGGCAAGCGUUGUCCGGAUUUACUGGGUGUAAAGGGCGCGCAGGCGGGAUAAAAAGUCAGUGGUGAAAUCCUACAGCUUAACUGUAGAACUGCCUUUGAUACUUUUAUUCUUGAGUUCGGGAGAGAGAGACGGAAUUCCAGGUGUAGUGGUGAAAUACGUAGAUAUCUGGAAGAACACCAGUUGCGAAGGCGGUCUCUUGGUCCGACACUGACGCUGAGGCGCGAAAGCGUGGGGAGCAAACA
RNAcentral lists this ribosomal RNA (422 nucleotides) under uncultured bacterium. Its description in RNAcentral is "bacterial SSU rRNA". It matches the Rfam family "Bacterial small subunit ribosomal RNA", at positions 355 to 774 of the family's 1533-position model. The record is from RNAcentral.